GAAGCGGAAGUUCAUCCGACUUUUUAACGGCCCAAACAACCAAAAUCUUUCUUGGUAGACAUGGUUUUCCAUCGUUAAUGCGGUGGAGGAUAUCACUUAAGAUCGCUAAGAAUGGCGAAAUCCCAAUGCCACCUGCAACUAAAAUCAGGUUCUCAUACCUGCGAAAACAGGAUCACCACGUCAGGUUACAUAUGAAGGUGACUUAAAAGUUUAAUCCGGACAUGAGAAAGUGAAACAUUGAAAGGUAUGGGAGUACGUACAUCAAGUGGUAUGGCAUUUCAUGCCCGUAAGGUCCCUCAACGGAAGCUGUGAUCGUGGUUUUUGAUAGUUCAGGCUCAGACAUGCUCAAGAUACUGUCCCUCAGCCUCGCUGUCCAUCCCCCAAGGACCUUUAUGAGAAUAGCUAGAUGAUGUUUACCGUCUAGAGGACUGGACGAAACACUGAAAGGAUGCCAUUGCAACCACGAUAAUUCUCGAACUU
RNAcentral lists this long non-coding RNA (480 nucleotides) under Gossypium barbadense (sea-island cotton). RNAcentral describes it as "long non-coding RNA (GBAR_LNC020310)". The record is from RNAcentral. Lineage: Eukaryota; Viridiplantae; Streptophyta; Magnoliopsida; Malvales; Malvaceae.